This 253-nucleotide ribosomal RNA is filed under the name uncultured bacterium. Its description in RNAcentral is "partial 16S ribosomal RNA". It matches the Rfam family "Bacterial small subunit ribosomal RNA", at positions 524 to 776 of the family's 1533-position model. The record is from RNAcentral.
UACGGGGGGGGCAAGCGUUGUUCGGAAUUACUGGGCGUAAAGGGCUCGUAGGCGGCCAACUAAGUCAGACGUGAAAUCCCUCGGCUUAACCGGGGAACUGCGUCUGAUACUGGAUGGCUUGAAUCCGGGAGAGGGAUGCGGAAUUCCAGGUGUAGCGGUGAAAUGCGUAGAUAUCUGGAGGAACACCGGUGGGGAAGGCGGCAUCCUGGACCGGCAUUGACGCUGAGGAGCGAAAGCCAGGGGAGCAAACGGG